UGAACGCUGGCGGCAGGCCUAACACAUGCAAGUCGAGCGGAUGAAGGGAGCUUGCUCCUGGAUUCAGCGGCGGACGGGUGAGUAAUGCCUAGGAAUCUGCCUGGUAGUGGGGGAUAACGUCCGGAAACGGGCGCUAAUACCGCAUACGUCCUGAGGGAGAAAGUGGGGGAUCUUCGGACCUCACGCUAUCAGAUGAGCCUAGGUCGGAUUAGCUAGUUGGUGGGGUAAAGGCCUACCAAGGCGACGAUCCGUAACUGGUCUGAGAGGAUGAUCAGUCACACUGGAACUGAGACACGGUCCAGACUCCUACGGGAGGCAGCAGUGGGGAAUAUUGGACAAUGGGCGAAAGCCUGAUCCAGCCAUGCCGCGUGUGUGAAGAAGGUCUUCGGAUUGUAAAGCACUUUAAGUUGGGAGGAAGGGCGGUAAGUUAAUACCUUGCUGUUUUGACGUUACCAACAGAAUAAGCACCGGCUAACUUCGUG
RNAcentral lists this ribosomal RNA (482 nucleotides) under uncultured bacterium. RNAcentral describes it as "partial 16S ribosomal RNA". It matches the Rfam family "Bacterial small subunit ribosomal RNA", at positions 30 to 507 of the family's 1533-position model. The record is from RNAcentral.